Long non-coding RNA from Pieris brassicae (large cabbage white), 1504 nucleotides. RefSeq lists it as uncharacterized. The record is from RefSeq and is a predicted model, not a curated record. NCBI's taxonomy places the organism in Eukaryota, Metazoa, Arthropoda, Insecta, Lepidoptera, Pieridae. The transcript has 3 exons.
AACGAAAAUUGAAGGAUAUAAACAAAAUAAACAAAUACGAACUUUGAUGAAUGUCAAAAAAUCAUACUGUUGUCGAAAUAAAUGAAGAAAAGUGUGCAGUUUAUAGUUAUUUUAGGCGCGCUCGCUUUUUGACUCACAUCCCAAAAACCUACAAAAGAGAGGUGACACUUGUGGGGGGCACAAGCGCACCCCGAGUGGAGAAUGUCGAUGGGAAAGAUUACUGUCAAAUAGUUCCUUGCAGAGAGCGCCAAACGUUAGUUAUAAGGAAGCUGUCAAACUCCCUAGUAAAUUAUAAAACUUGUCGAUAUUUUAUUAUUAAAUGGGUCGGUGUGUGGCUAUUGGAUAUGAAGAAGAAGAGGGACAAGAGCAUUGAGAAGACCAUUAUUAUCUAUUUAAAAGCAACUGAUUAUUGUAAGUUACGUACUAAGCACUUCAAAGUUACAUAUUUUGUUUUUGAGGCAACUGGUUUCCCACUUUCUUGGAAUUUUUUAAAUAAAUCUGCAGUACCAACACUGUUUUCUUGUAACAAUGCGUCAAGUCAAGAUACUUCUACACGAGCUGAACGUUUGAAACGAAGAAAUGUUAAGCCUUGCCUCAUACCCAGCAUUGUGACAGGAACGGCUGAAUCUGUAGUUGACAAGAACACUGCUGCGGCUAUGACUUCAACUGACCAAGGCUACGCUCAUGAGCAGAAUUUAGAAGUACUCACCUUCAGAAAUGGAGGAUAACGAAGGAGGCGGGGAAAACCCUCCCACCUCAAAUAAACAUCCUCGCUUGAGGAUCAUGGUGAUGACCCCAAGGCAGACAUGGUUGUCGGAGGCGGUGAGCGUAAUGACAAUCUUUUACCGUUUUACAAACCGAAUUUUAAAAAACUUCCGAAUAAUUAAAUACAGAAUUAUAAGUAUUUGUCAAAGCUACUAGUAUUUCUCAGACUGGGCAACAAGAGCCCGAUUUACUUAAUCCACAUUUUUGCAACUGAAGUUAAAGGUUUGAAAAUCGCCAAUUCAAAGAGUGAAUGCCAGUAUAAUUGCAGUUAUUUUGAAGCAGUAUAAUACAUUAAAUAAAUUUAUUAACAAUUCAUCAUUCAAAAAAUAUGAAAACAAAGCUUCCAUUCCUGUUGCGGAGAUUGAAAAGACAGGAAUGUUAAGAUUCGUUCCGGCUAACAUAUUCAAUAAAGAGUUGUACAGUAGGCUAUCGUCAAUAUAUGAAAUUAUUGAAAUCAGAAAAUUCACAAAGAGGUCAUGAGUAUGUUCCUUUACAAACUGUAAGCAUUACUUUUCUAUCUAAUAUUCUACUAGAUAAUAUAAAAUAUGACUUAUUCUCUUAUAGAAUUUUUGAAUAUAUACCACCAAUGCAAUGAUGUUUCAAGUUUAACCACUCAGCUAAAAUCUGUAACGGUAAACAAAAUUUUUCAAUUUGUGGAGGUGAACACUUAUAUAAGGAAUGUGACAAGCUCACUGAUAUCUGUUGUGUAAAUUGCAGUGGACCUCAUCAAGCCAUUUCA